Molecule: ribosomal RNA, 719 nt
Filed under: uncultured bacterium
Lineage: Bacteria
Description: bacterial SSU rRNA
Rfam family: Bacterial small subunit ribosomal RNA
Source: RNAcentral
GCUGGCGGCGGGUGAGUAAUACUUAUGAAUCUACCCAGUAGCGGGGGACAACUCGAGGAAACUCGAGCUAAUACCGCAUACGCCUUACGGGGGAAAGCAGGGGAUCUUUCGGACCUUGCACUAUUGGAUGAGCUUAAGUCGGAUUAGCUUGUUGGUGAGGUAAAAGCACACCAAGGGCGACGAUCCGUAGCUGGUCUGAGAAGGACGAUCAGCCACACUGGGACUGAGACACGGCCCAGACUCCUACGGGAGGCAGCAGUGGGGAAUAUUGGACAAUGGGGGCAACCCUGAUCCAGCAAUGCCGCGUGUGUGAAGAAGGCCUGCGGGUUGUAAAGCACUUUCAGUAGAGAAGAAAAAGCCUACGGUUAAUACCCGUGAGUCUUGACGUUACCUACAGAAGAAGCUCCGGCUAACUCCGUGCCAGCAGCCGCGGUAAUACGGAGGGGAGCGAGCGUUAAUCGGAAAUUACUGGGCGUAAAAGCGCGCGUAGGCGGCUUUGUAAGCCGGAUGUGAAAGCCCUGGGCUUAACCUGGGAAUGGCAUUCGAUACUGCAUAGCUAGAGUAUGGUAGAGGGUGGUGGAUUUUCCGGUGUAGCGGUGAGAUGCGUAGAUAUCGGUAGGAACACCAGUGGCGUAGGCGACUUCCUGGGCCGGUACUGACGCUGAGGUGCGUGGGCGUGAAUGCGGGCGGGAUUAGUUACCCUGGUACUCCACGCCGUA